AAGAGGCUGAGGAAGGAGAAGAUG
This 24-nucleotide non-coding RNA is filed under the name Cricetulus griseus (Chinese hamster). The record is from RNAcentral. Lineage: Eukaryota; Metazoa; Chordata; Mammalia; Rodentia; Cricetidae.